GGAGUCUGGGCCGUGUCUCAGUCCCAAUGUGGCCGUCCAUCCUCUCAGACCGGCUACCGAUCGUUGCUUUGGUGGGCUCUUACCCCGCCAACUGGCUAAUCGGACGCGGGCUCAUCCCAUACCACCGUAACUUUUCUUACAGAACCAUGCGGUCCCGUAGGCUUAUGCGGUUUUAGCUCAGAUUUCUCUGAGUUAUCCCCCGGUAUGGGGCAGAUUACCCACGCGUUCCUCACCCGUCCGCCGCUAAGUUAUUAACCGAAGUCAAUAACUCCGCUCGACUUGCAUGUGUUAAGCGUGCCGCCAGCGUUCAUC
Molecule: ribosomal RNA, 312 nt
Filed under: uncultured Clostridia bacterium
Lineage: Bacteria; Bacillati; Bacillota; Clostridia
Description: partial 16S ribosomal RNA
Source: RNAcentral